This 453-nucleotide long non-coding RNA is filed under the name Trifolium pratense (red clover). RNAcentral's name for it is "long non-coding RNA (TPRA_LNC007826)". Lineage: Eukaryota; Viridiplantae; Streptophyta; Magnoliopsida; Fabales; Fabaceae. The record is from RNAcentral.
UCUUAAUAAUAUACAAACUCAAAACCAUGUUAGGGAAAGAAAGCUUAUUUGUCCACCUCUAACCACAUUCUUGCCAAAUCAUCAUUAAUUAAUAUUACUUUCAUUCCAUAUUUAGCUUAUGGUGCCAACUUGGAUGCUUGAGUUGGAAGAAAAAUUUAAAUUUUGAAUUUCCCUCUUCUUUUGGUUUUGUUGGGUCUUAUUUUUGCAUUCAAACAAGUGAAAAACUGAUCUGGCCCAGUUGUUGAAGCCCAUUUCGCUACCAAACAAAAAAAUACUUACCUGGAAAGGAAAAAAAAGAAGCACGCGUAAACAUUUUGGGCAAUUCCUUUCUCCCUCCACGCGACCCAACCAGAAAAACGCUAUCAAAUUGAUGCAAGCCUACAGAAAUCCUCUCUGACUCUUAUCAGUACACUCCCAGCGGAUUUUAUGGCUUUAAUCGAUCUCUCUUCAACG